This 72-nucleotide transfer RNA is filed under the name Pangasius djambal. RNAcentral describes it as "tRNA-Glu". It matches the Rfam family "tRNA". Rfam says of the family: Transfer RNA (tRNA) molecules are approximately 80 nucleotides in length. Their secondary structure includes four short double-helical elements and three loops (D, anti-codon, and T loops). Lineage: Eukaryota; Metazoa; Chordata; Actinopteri; Siluriformes; Pangasiidae. The record is from RNAcentral.
UCCCUAGAGGACUAGUGGUUAGGCCAUGGUGCUCUCACCUCUGUGGCCUGGGUUUGAUUCCCGGCCAGGGAU